GCCGCUUCUUUUACUGCUUUUUCAUUCUUCACAAUCAAUUGUUAUUACCUCUACGGAGUACUCUGUACAUCAAUUGUUAUUUAUUGUAUAUAAUUAUUAAUCAUUUAUUUUCAACUAUACUAUUUGCUCGUUACACUGUCAACCAGGCAGAUAUCACAACAGAUAGCGUCAGCUGCGUGUCAAGAUCCUUUUCUCUUCUCUUUUUCUUCUUUUUCUUGUCAGUUUUCUGCUCCUUGGAAUUGAGCUGGGACCUGCUGACGCUGAACGAUGAAGCUAUUGGAUCGACGUGUGUUGAUGGUCUCCAAGUCCAAAACUAGG
RNAcentral lists this small RNA (318 nucleotides) under Histoplasma capsulatum. RNAcentral describes it as "hypothetical RNA". Lineage: Eukaryota; Fungi; Ascomycota; Eurotiomycetes; Onygenales; Ajellomycetaceae. The record is from RNAcentral. RNAcentral also lists the same sequence under 1 other name.